CUGUAUUAGAAACAUAGAGUUGCAUCAGAUGAUAUGAAUCUGAUCAGGGAGUGCAACUCAAUGCUGGUUGCAAUUACUGUAUGGCUGUCCACCUCUGGUUGUCCCAUACUCCUAGGGUGUAGACUUCUAGGAUUCCCACUGAGAUCCUGAAGUAUUUGCUAGAAUCCCUCUUCACUGAUAUUCCCAGGCUCUAAUUUCCAUAUCUUUAUCAUGGUCUGUUUAGUCAGUAGAGAAUAAAAAUACACUAAGCUUUUUUUUUUAAAAAAAAAUGCUUUUACCCUUGGGAGUGUCAUGAUCAGGACUAUAUAUGGAGGAGAUUUAGGGAGCUCAAAUAGGAGGUUAUAGUAAUAGUCUGGAUAUGAGUUAAUGAAGGCUGCUGAUACAGGAAGUUGGAAACAGGAAUGUACAUGAAGAGACAGAUACGGAACCUCUUAUGGAAGAAGAGAGGGAGGGGAUUAUCUACAAGAAGAAAAGUGGGGCUUUUGCUUUAUCCCCUAGUCCCAACACACUCACUGCGGACCAAUUAUUUUCACACACUAACAAGCGUAACCCUGGAACAUGAGGAUGUUGACAUGACCUGUAUACAGUUAUGAGACUGCUCCUGCCAAAGGGAACUCCCUAAACAGAGAAACAACGACCAGAAUAGUUCACGAAAAGCCUGGGCUGUUGGAAGUUAGGCCUUCUCUGGAAUUGCUCCCCGGAUACUGACGGCUCCAACGUUUCCAGUGUGCUAUGGUUGGAUCAGACAUUCUUCUCCAAGCCAAGAUUGCUUCCAACAGCUGGAGGAAGAGCCCCUCCUGUCCUCUCCACCUCCUCAGCUUCAUUUCUCACUGGAGACCAUCCGAAAGGGGAGUUUAAAAUUACUAACUGUCUUUUGGGUAAAUAGCAUUUACUUUUCCAGACUGAACUGCCAAAGACCUUAAGAAAAUUAAAGAAAGAAGAGAAAAACUGAGUUGCCAUGUCUGGUAAAUAGUGUUUCUCUAAUUAGAUGGCUGCAUGGUUAUUAACUAGAGCAGUUGUAUAUCCUGACGUAUGAUUUAUUUACCUUGGCACACACAGAUAGGGUGCUGAGCAACAGAGCCAAAUACGGUGACAGGGUGAGGAAAAUGAGAAGAUGCAAAACCAUGGUGAGGACUGAGUUCUGUACAUCUUACAGAAUUGGUUUUCCCAGAGGAGGGAAACAGGAAUAUUAUC
Molecule: long non-coding RNA, 1194 nt
Filed under: Pan troglodytes (chimpanzee)
Lineage: Eukaryota; Metazoa; Chordata; Mammalia; Primates; Hominidae
Description: lncRNA (ENSPTRG00000054635.1)
Source: RNAcentral